ACAUACUGUGCGAACGUUAUUCGGAAUCACUGGGCUUAAAGGGUGCGUAGGCGGUGGUUCAAGUCAGAUGUGAAAUGCCUGAGCUCAACUGAGGCAUUGCGUUUGAAACUGGAUCGCUUGAGUAUCCCAGGGGUGUGCGGAACUGCCAGUGGAGCGGUGAAAUGUGUUGAUAUUGGCAGGAACACCGGAGGCGAAAGCGGCACACUGGGGGAUAACUGACGCUGAGGCACGAAAGCCAGGGUAGCGAACGGGAUUAGAUACCCCGGUAGUCCUGGCUGUAAACGAUGAGCACUGGGCGGGAGGAAGUUCGCUUUUUCCUGCCGUAGCGAAAGCGUUAAGUGCUCCGCCUGGGGAGUAUGGUCGCAAGGCUG
RNAcentral lists this ribosomal RNA (371 nucleotides) under uncultured bacterium. RNAcentral describes it as "bacterial SSU rRNA". It matches the Rfam family "Bacterial small subunit ribosomal RNA", at positions 525 to 896 of the family's 1533-position model. The record is from RNAcentral.